AUGCUCGAGAGCAAGGUACCCUCAUCCAUGUCGACGACAUUCUUGUUCAUAAGCGUAUCUUGGAGCUUUCUAGGGGUGUGUAACUACUCAAGCCAGUUAGUAGAACACUACGCUGAGAUAGCGAGACCUCUGACUAACCUACUGAAGAAGGAUGUGCCUUUCGAGUGGACUGAGCAGCAGCAACAGGCCAUGGACGACGUGAAGGCCGCGUUAUGCUCGGCUCCGUGCUUGGUGCUCCCCGAUUGCGACAAGGAGUUCCACCUUGAGGUCGGUUUCUCAUCUCACUGUUUGAGUGCCGGUCUUUACGAAGUAUAUGACUGCGACAGGCGUGUCAUAGCCUAUGCUAGUAAGCUCUUGUCCGGUCCUGAGUUAAAGUACUCUGGCUGUGAAAAAGCUUUGCUUUCCACCAUGUGGGCAGUGAAACACUUUUCUAGCUACAUCGGUGGACAGAAAGUCAUCAUUGAAACUCAGCACCAGCCAGUGACCUUCCUUAACAGUCAGCGCAUCAGAGAUGGUGUGGUGACCAAUGCGCGAAUCACCUCAUGGCUGCUGGCUCUUCAAAGCUUCAACAUCGAAGUACACUACGCCCAGAACCGCCGUAGCCCUCUUGGCAUGGGUUUGGCUGAGUGCCAACACUGCUCGGACGACGCUGUCACGUCAGUCCCGCCAGCUAGCCCUCCUCAGACUCUUCUAAACCCCAACAACCACUACUUCAACCAGUCUCUCUGUGUGGACUCGCCGACCGUGUACAUCGAUGGCAGUUCUUUUCGACACGGUGCUGCGCCAAGGUCAAGCGAGGGUGUCGUGUGGUUGAACACUGACCAGAAGAACUCCCAAUGUUACUGGUUGGGUCCUAAGACCUCACAGUUUGCAGAAGUGGCUGGGAUCUUGACAGUACUACAACUUGCUGUGGACCGUGGUGUCCGUGAGCUGGUGAUUUGCACUGACUUGGACUGCGCGUGUCUCAGUUUCAUUUGUCAUCUACCUUCUUGGAAGAGUAACGGGUUCCUAACCUCUAACCGGAAGCCCAUUAAACAUCAGGACCUCUUUAUGGCUUGUGACGACCUAGUGACGUCACAUGACAUGCACAUUUAUUGGCGUAAAGUCAAAGGACAUUCUCGUGUACCCGGAAAUGUUAAGGACCUGAACGACCUUGCAGACUCUCUUGCCAAACAAGGCGCGGCCGAUGGUACUCCAUGA
This is a long non-coding RNA of Nothobranchius furzeri (turquoise killifish), 1200 nucleotides long. Lineage: Eukaryota; Metazoa; Chordata; Actinopteri; Cyprinodontiformes; Nothobranchiidae. The record is from Ensembl.